RNAcentral lists this long non-coding RNA (224 nucleotides) under Mytilus galloprovincialis (Mediterranean mussel). Lineage: Eukaryota; Metazoa; Mollusca; Bivalvia; Mytilida; Mytilidae. The record is from RNAcentral.
CAUUUAGCUGUCAAAUGUUAGAGCAGAACGAGAGGGAAAUUGGUCUCUUCCUUGAGAUCGUCAUCUCAAAUGUAACAUUAUAUUUUUGUAACCAACCGUACCGCACGAAGGUGGAUACUCGAUAUGCUUCAAUUUUCUGAGAACAUUCGAUCACCUUUUAUAGAUGGCUACUUUGCUUUUUAGACAGAUUCCUGGACAUUUUAACAGUACUAUGACAUGGCAAC